This 750-nucleotide ribosomal RNA is filed under the name Brevundimonas sp. B-137-1-1. RNAcentral describes it as "bacterial SSU rRNA". It matches the Rfam family "Bacterial small subunit ribosomal RNA", at positions 91 to 877 of the family's 1533-position model. The record is from RNAcentral. Lineage: Bacteria; Pseudomonadati; Pseudomonadota; Alphaproteobacteria; Caulobacterales; Caulobacteraceae.
GUUAGUGGCGGACGGGUGAGUAACACGUGGGAACGUGCCUUUAGGUUCGGAAUAACUCAGGGAAACUUGUGCUAAUACCGAAUGUGCCCUUCGGGGGAAAGAUUUAUCGCCUUUAGAGCGGCCCGCGUCUGAUUAGCUAGUUGGUGAGGUAAAGGCUCACCAAGGCGACGAUCAGUAGCUGGUCUGAGAGGAUGAUCAGCCACAUUGGGACUGAGACACGGCCCAAACUCCUACGGGAGGCAGCAGUGGGGAAUCUUGCGCAAUGGGCGAAAGCCUGACGCAGCCAUGCCGCGUGAAUGAUGAAGGUCUUAGGAUUGUAAAAUUCUUUCACCGGGGACGAUAAUGACGGUACCCGGAGAAGAAGCCCCGGCUAACUUCGUGCCAGCAGCCGCGGUAAUACGAAGGGGGCUAGCGUUGCUCGGAAUUACUGGGCGUAAAGGGAGCGUAGGCGGACAUUUAAGUCAGGGGUGAAAUCCCGGGGCUCAACCUCGGAAUUGCCUUUGAUACUGGGUGUCUUGAGUAUGAGAGAGGUGUGUGGAACUCCGAGUGUAGAGGUGAAAUUCGUAGAUAUUCGGAAGAACACCAGUGGCGAAGGCGACACACUGGCUCAUUACUGACGCUGAGGCUCGAAAGCGUGGGGAGCAAACAGGAUUAGAUACCCUGGUAGUCCACGCCGUAAACGAUGAUUGCUAGUUGUCGGGAUGCAUGCAUUUCGGUGACGCAGCUAACGCAUUAAGCAAUCCGCCUGGG